Non-coding RNA from Lupinus albus (white lupine), 631 nucleotides. The record is from the annotation of a GenBank genome assembly. NCBI's taxonomy places the organism in Eukaryota, Viridiplantae, Streptophyta, Magnoliopsida, Fabales, Fabaceae.
AUGAUGUGGACUAUCAUGGUGGGAUGAUGUGGUCAACCAAUCUAUUGACGCUCUCCAUAAUUUGAUAGAAUGAUAGUUUUUUGUAUUCUUAUUAAUAUAUUGUGCUUAGAGGUUGAUAGGAUGAUUAUGAGAUUCAUUAGAAUAGGAAUGAGAUAGGAUAAUUGAUUAUUUAGAUUUAAUUAAAUUAUUAACAUUUCUAGAAUGUUCUUAUAGUGUGAGAUGAUGAUACUUGUAUGGUUAUCGUCAUUUUAAGAUUUCUUUAUUCUCUAUAAAUAAUGUCUUUGUUCAUUCAUGAACGAAAUCAAUGAAAAAUGAAGAAUUUUAUAUUUAUUAUCGUACUUUAUCUAUUUUCUUAGGAGUAUAUUAAUUCUAUAAUGUUAUUGGUAGAUUGUUAUUUGCACUCUAUCAAUUGUUACUUUAAUUUUAUAUUUUUAAUCACAUCCCUAAUCUUUACACAAGUUUUGUUAUCUUUGCUCUCCAAUUUUCUUCUCUUGCCAUCCAAGCCCAAAUUCCAUCCAUUCAUUCUAGCAACCCCAUCCUUCCUUUUCCACUCAACAAUUCCAUUACCCUCACCCUUCUUCCUCUCUCACUCACUUACCCCUACCUUUUCCUCGCGAAGCUCCUUUGUUCU